GACGAACGCUGGCGGCGUGCCUAAUACAUGCAAGUUGAGCGCUGAAGGUUGGUACUUGUACCAACUGGAUGAGCAGCGAACGGGUGAGUAACGCGUGGGGAAUCUGCCUUUGAGCGGGGGACAACAUUUGGAAACGAAUGCUAAUACCGCAUAAAAACUUUAAACACAAGUUUUAAGUUUGAAAGAUGCAAUUGCAUCACUCAAAGAUGAUCCCGCGUUGUAUUAGCUAGUUGGUGAGGUAAAGGCUCACCAAGGCGAUGAUACAUAGCCGACCUGAGAGGGUGAUCUGCCACAUUGGGACUGAGACACGGCCCAAACGCCUACGGGAGGCAGCAGUAGGGAAUCUUCGGCAAUGGACGAAAGUCUGACCGAGCAACGCCGCGUGAGUGAAGAAGGUUUUCGGAUCGUAAAACUCUGUUGGUAGAGAAGAACGUUGGUGAGAGUGGAAAGCUCAUCAAGUGACGGUAACUACCCAGAAAGGGACGGCUAACUACGUG
Molecule: ribosomal RNA, 497 nt
Filed under: uncultured bacterium
Lineage: Bacteria
Description: partial 16S ribosomal RNA
Rfam family: Bacterial small subunit ribosomal RNA
Source: RNAcentral